UAGCACAGAGAGCUUGCUCUCGGGUGACGAGCGGCGGACGGGUGAGUAAUGUCUGGGAAACUGCCUGAUGGAGGGGGAUAACUACUGGAAACGGUAGCUAAUACCGCAUAAUGUCGCAAGACCAAAGUGGGGGACCUUCGGGCCUCAUGCCAUCAGAUGUGCCCAGAUGGGAUUAGCUAGUAGGUGGGGUAACGGCUCACCUAGGCGACGAUCCCUAGCUGGUCUGAGAGGAUGACCAGCCACACUGGAACUGAGACACGGUCCAGACUCCUACGGGAGGCAGCAGUGGGGAAUAUUGCACAAUGGGCGCAAGCCUGAUGCAGCCAUGCCGCGUGUGUGAAGAAGGCCUUCGGGUUGUAAAGCACUUUCAGCGGGGAGGAAGGCGUUGAGGUUAAUAACCUUGUCGAUUGACGUUACCCGCAGAAGAAGCACCGGCUAACUCCGUGCCAGCAGCCGCGGUAAUACGGAGGGUGCAAGCGUUAAUCGGAAUUACU
This 494-nucleotide ribosomal RNA is filed under the name Klebsiella pneumoniae. Its description in RNAcentral is "bacterial SSU rRNA". It matches the Rfam family "Bacterial small subunit ribosomal RNA", at positions 68 to 555 of the family's 1533-position model. The record is from RNAcentral. Lineage: Bacteria; Pseudomonadati; Pseudomonadota; Gammaproteobacteria; Enterobacterales; Enterobacteriaceae.